AGUGGGAUAGCUGGGUCAAAUGGUGAUUCCAUUGCAAGUUUUCCAAGGAAUCUCCACACUGCUUUCCAUAUUGGCAGCACCAAUUUGCAGUCCCACCAGCAAU
This 103-nucleotide microRNA precursor is filed under the name Marmota monax (woodchuck). The record is from RNAcentral. Lineage: Eukaryota; Metazoa; Chordata; Mammalia; Rodentia; Sciuridae.